CCCUUAGAUGUUCUGGGCCGCAGGCGUGCUACACUGAGUGGAUCAGCGGGUCAGGUUGCGCGAAAGUGUUUCCUAAUCUUGAAAUCCGCUCGUGAUGGGGAUUGACGGUUGCAAUUUUCCGUCAUGAACGAGGAAUACCUUGUAAGCGCGGGUCAUCAUCCCGCGCUGAAUACGUCCCUGCCCUUUGUACACACCGCCCGUCGCUCCUACCGAUUGAGUGGUCCGGUGAGGCUUUGGGAUCUGAGCGGAAAGAGCGUUUCGCUGUUUCUGCUCGGAAAACUCAGUCGAACCUUAUCAUUUAGAGGAAGGAGAAGUCGUAACA
RNAcentral lists this ribosomal RNA (322 nucleotides) under uncultured eukaryote. RNAcentral's name for it is "partial 18S ribosomal RNA". It matches the Rfam family "Eukaryotic small subunit ribosomal RNA", at positions 1470 to 1796 of the family's 1831-position model. The record is from RNAcentral.